Molecule: ribosomal RNA, 253 nt
Filed under: uncultured bacterium
Lineage: Bacteria
Description: partial 16S ribosomal RNA
Rfam family: Bacterial small subunit ribosomal RNA
Source: RNAcentral
UACGGAGGGGGCUAGCGUUGUUCGGAAUUACUGGGCGUAAAGCGCACGUAGGCGGCUUUGCAAGUUAGAGGUGAAAGCCCGGAGCUUAACUCCGGAAUUGCCUUUAAAACUGCAUCGCUAGAAUUGUGGAGAGGUGAGUGGAAUUCCGAGUGUAGAGGUGAAAUUCGUAGAUAUUCGGAAGAACACCAGUGGCGAAGGCGACUCACUGGACACAUAUUGACGCUGAGGUGUGAAAGCGUGGGGAGCAAACAGG